GUGGGGAAUCUUCCGCAAUGGGCGAAAGCCUGACGGAGCAAUGCCGCGUGAGUGAAGAAGGCCUUCGGGUUGUAAAGCUCUAUCCUUGUCCAAGAGAGCAGAGUAUAGUAACUGAUAGUCUGAGGACGGUAGACAAGAAGGAAGCCCCGGCUAACUAUGUGCCAGCAGCCGCGGUAAAACAUAGGGGGCAAGCGUUGUCCGGAAUCACUGGGCGUAAAGGGCGCGUAGGCGGUCUGUUAAGUCGGAUGUGAAAUGUAAGGGCUCAACCCUUAACGUGCAUCUGAUACUGGCAGACUUGAGUGCGGAAGAGGCAAGUGGAAUUCCUAGUGUAGCGGUGAAAUGCGUAGAUAUUAGGAGGAACACCAGUGGCGAAGGCGACUUGCUGGGCCGUAACUGACGCUGAGGCGCGAAAGCGUGGGGAGCAAACAGGAUUAGAAACCCUAGUAGUCC
RNAcentral lists this ribosomal RNA (450 nucleotides) under uncultured bacterium. Its description in RNAcentral is "bacterial SSU rRNA". It matches the Rfam family "Bacterial small subunit ribosomal RNA", at positions 354 to 796 of the family's 1533-position model. The record is from RNAcentral.